Molecule: ribosomal RNA, 248 nt
Filed under: uncultured bacterium
Lineage: Bacteria
Description: partial 16S ribosomal RNA
Rfam family: Bacterial small subunit ribosomal RNA
Source: RNAcentral
UACAUAAGUAACCUGCCCUAGACAGGGGGAUAACUAUUGGAAACGAUAGCUAAGACCGCAUAGGUACGGACACUGCAUGGUGACCGUAUUAAAAGUGCCUCAAAGCACUGGUAGAGGAUGGACUUAUGGCGCAUUAGCUGGUUGGCGGGGUAACGGCCCACCAAGGCGACGAUGCGUAGCCGACCUGAGAGGGUGACCGGCCACACUGGGACUGAGACACGGCCCAGACUCCUACGGGAGGCAGCAUG